Molecule: unclassified non-coding RNA, 289 nt
Filed under: uncultured fungus
Lineage: Eukaryota; Fungi
Description: sequence contains ITS1
Rfam family: 5.8S ribosomal RNA (bases 1-104)
Source: RNAcentral
GAAUUGCGAAAAGUAAUGUGAAUUGCAUAUACCGUGAAUCAUCAAAUCUUUGAAUGCACCUUGCACUAUUGUGAAUUCACGAUAGUACGUCUGUUUGAGUAUCAAUUAACCCCAUCAUCCAUUGUGAUGUUUGUGGACGAACGAGUGGCACCAGUCACCGUCGUCUCGAGUGAAUGUUCAACAACUGUUGGAAAGUCAGAUCAGCAAUGACCAUAUUGACUCUCACCCGGCACGUUGUUACAACAUUUAACUUGAUCUCAAAUCAGAUGAGGAUACCCGCUGAACUUAA